AUAUAAUUUCACUGUAAAUAGUUAUAAAUCAUAUACAGCAAUUAAUUAUAAAAUAAAGACAAGCCUAUGCAGGUGCAAACAGAUAGUCCAUUAUCUUGCUCUUAGGUUAAUGAAAACAAAGUAUGAUAAAACAUGUUACACUGACCUUGGUGACAUACGAGUAACUGAAAUCUCAGGUUGUGAAAGUGAAAUAUAACAGCGUUCAUAUGGUUUUAACCUUUAUUAUAUAAAAUUCACAUGUCUUUUAUUGUGAGUAAAAACUGUUCCCCAGAUACUGUAUAACCAUAUGCAUAUCAGAUGAGUUUUGAGUUCUAUUUAUCCAGUGGCCAGGCUCACCCCUUUGUAGGGACAAGCUAAAAUAAGCCAACAAUGGCCUGAAAGUUCUCACAAAAAUAUAUUUGAAAAUUGAAGAGGUCACUGGUAGUUCCAGGAGCAAUCUUCUACAAAGUCACAGAGGAAUACAAUGUGUGUGUGCAUGCAGGACAGAUUAUCACCAAUGCCAAAGCAACAACAAAAUCUUCAAACAGCAAAAUCAAGGGACCCAAAUUUCAUUAAUUAAAAAGAUGAGCACUGAUGACAGCAAGCCAAGAGUCAGGACAUACCAGGGAAUGUGUCCUACACCAAGUUGUGUUGAGCUGUCAUCACUACACAGGGAGAUUCCAGUAUACAUAAUCUGCAAGCUUAUCCUGCAGAGGUAAAAUAUAAAGUGUGAUAUGCAAUGAAAAGAAUAUAUAUAAAAAUAUAAUUUAUAUAUCCUCUGCUCUUGCAAUGAUUGUCUGACAUUAUUUCUUGUUCAUUAUGUUGUUGACUUUCAUGGUAAAAAAUAUUCCUAAACUAAAUAGAAAUUUUUUGUUGCAUGCAAAAUCAUGCUAUAUGUUAUAGAUGGAACAGUUCUGUGCCUGUUGUAACAGUUACAUUUUUCAUAACAUUUCACAACAACAAAAAAUAAAUACAUUUGUUCAUAUAAGGUUUAACAUGAAUACUGGUUAAAACAGAGCCAUAUGUCCCACUUUUCUUCACUACCAAUGAAAUGUUAUGAAUCUGAAAAAGUCAUGCAUUGGACAUAUCAGAAUUUAAAAUAUCCUUACGUGAUAAUCACAACCAGUAGCCAAACCCUGUUGUGGUGUGGGCUUCUAUGCCAGAUUGAGUACUCACGUUCCACAAAGCUUAUUGAUAUGGUCACUGAAAUGUAUGAACAGUCUGUUAAACAAACUGCAGGCAUAACAAUACUGAUCACUGUUACCAUCCUAUCAAUUUAAGUUCAUAAAUGUGUACACACAUUUAACCUGCAUAUUACAGUUCUUAGUCUGAUACAUGCUGUAACCUGUUCGACUAUUUUAUAUACAAAUGCUAGUCUUGA
This is a non-coding RNA of Zootermopsis nevadensis, 1360 nucleotides long. NCBI's taxonomy places the organism in Eukaryota, Metazoa, Arthropoda, Insecta, Blattodea, Termopsidae. The record is from RefSeq and is a predicted model, not a curated record.